This 85-nucleotide transfer RNA is filed under the name Escherichia coli. RNAcentral describes it as "tRNA-Leu". It matches the Rfam family "tRNA". Rfam says of the family: Transfer RNA (tRNA) molecules are approximately 80 nucleotides in length. Their secondary structure includes four short double-helical elements and three loops (D, anti-codon, and T loops). The record is from RNAcentral. RNAcentral also lists the same sequence under 535 other names. Lineage: Bacteria; Pseudomonadati; Pseudomonadota; Gammaproteobacteria; Enterobacterales; Enterobacteriaceae.
GCCGGUGUGGUGAAAUUGGUAUACACGACGGAUUCAAAAUCCGUUGCCUUCGGGCGUGGCGGUUCAAGUCCGCCCACCGGUACCA